RNAcentral lists this ribosomal RNA (253 nucleotides) under uncultured bacterium. RNAcentral's name for it is "partial 16S ribosomal RNA". It matches the Rfam family "Bacterial small subunit ribosomal RNA", at positions 524 to 776 of the family's 1533-position model. The record is from RNAcentral.
UACGUAGGGGGCAAGCGUUGUCCGGAAUCAUUGGGCGUAAAGCGCGCGUAGGCGGCCCGGUAAGUCCGCUCUGAAAGUCCAGGGCUCAACCCUGGAAAGCGGGUGGAUACUGCCGGGCUAGAAUCCGGAAGAGGCGAGUGGAAUUCCUGGUGUAGCGGUGGAAUGCGCAGAUAUCAGGAGGAACACCGGUGGCGAAGGCGGAUCUCUGGGCCAGUACUGACACUGAGGAGCGAAAGCGUGGGGAGCGAACAGG